RNAcentral lists this long non-coding RNA (6894 nucleotides) under Solanum tuberosum (potato). RNAcentral describes it as "long non-coding RNA (STUB_LNC001687)". The record is from RNAcentral. Lineage: Eukaryota; Viridiplantae; Streptophyta; Magnoliopsida; Solanales; Solanaceae.
CCAUCUUUUGUAUCUUUGCAUCUACUGGAUGCCUUAACAAAAUCUCACUUAUUUCAUUAAAAAAAGCACCCCGUCUUGCUGUUGAGUAGCUAUGCUUUUGGGCUGGACAGACUAGUUGAGGUAUGUGUGAGCUAGCCAAGAUAUAAAAUAUACUGACAUCCCGUGGUCGGUAAAUUAAUACUUCUUUUUAAAAAAAUGAUAAUUGCAAAACCCUAAGUUAUCUCUUUCACUUUUAAACCUCUCACUCCUCUCUCACGCUACGCCCACCCCCACCCAUCCCGACCCACCCUCACCCGGCUCCCACCCCCACUAAUUCCCGAUCGGCGCUGCCUCGAUCAGUAACAGGUCACGCCACCAUCCCCGACCAGCGCAACAGGAGGUCGCAGCAGUAAGAGGUCGUGCCCAGCAGCAGCAGCAGGUCGCAGCAGCAGCGCGGAGGGCGAUGAGGUGAGGUGUCAUGUGUUUAUAAUGAAAUAUCUUCCUAGAGAGGAAGACUAGUGCGAGAUCAAGCAUCCUUAUUUUCUUUUUACUAGUUUGGAAUAGUAGGUAUCCCUGCUACAUUGUUUUUUUUCUUUAUAGUUAUCAUAGGGUCUUGAAUGUUAAGUUACACAUAUCUAUUUUUUCUCGGUGUUGAAAUCUUAACCUUUCCAGCAUUGUCCAUUCAAAGUGAUUUUCUUGAUGGAGUAAAUUAAUUGAGAUAUAAUGGAUGAGAGUUUCAUUUGAUGAUGAAUUUUAUGACUGCAAUCUGUUUUGUAUGCCUUGUUUUGGUAUUGGCUCCAUGUUACUUGGGGAAAUUUGAAGUACUCUGUUGUUGUGAUCUUAAAAGUGCUUGUGUUGAAGUUUUCAGGUUCAACAUUUACUGUAAAGUACUUCUUAUACAAAUUUAUCUCAUCACUCAUGCACUAGCGAAUCCUGGCUUAAGCUAUCAUACAUAGUUUCAUUAACUCACGCAGUGAGUCUUGAUUUAGUAGAGAUUACAGAGUAAUACAUUUUACUCUACUGUAGGCGGACAUAUUAUUGCGUGGUUACUUUGGUUGGAACUCAAGGCGUGCUAUACAUGUCCUUGUUCAAGUGUUUCCAAAGGUAUUGCAUCUUGCUCCCCAAUAUCUCUGAAUGGUCAAUGCAUGUGAAUGUUAAAGUAUAGCUUGUUAGAUUAGAUGCUCUCUCUACCUUACUUCUUCUUUUAUUAUCAGUUAAAAGACUGCUUAAUACUGUUGUGUGAACAAUCAUUUUCCCCAAGAAAUAGUCCUAUUUGCGUUAGAACUUAGCUACCCUUUUUGGUUCAUAUCAUCUGACUAUCAGAACAUUAUCAAUAUCUUCUUGAAUUUUUAUUGUGGAGAGCUUUUAAGAAUUGAGAAUAUCCUGUAGAAACUUACUUGUUUUCUUUAUAAAGAUAUCUCAUCUGGACAUCUGGUAUUGCAAGACAUCUCCUAUAUACUAACUUUUGACUUCUGAAAAUGGUGUUUUUCCUCUUCUAGGAUGCAACUGUUCAGCCUACAUUUGUGAUUGUUUACUUUGGUGGUAAUGAUUCAAUGGGACCUCAUUCAUUGGUGAUUGUUUACUUUGGUGAUUUUAUUGCAAGAUCGAUUUGUGUCCAUCUAGUGUUGAUACUAAGCUUUAAUUUAGGAAUAAUGUGUUUGUUUAACGUAAGUACCUACACUAGUUGACCCUAUUGAUGACAAAAUUAAUUUUCUUGCAAGAUCGAUUUGUGUCCAUCUAGUGUUGAUAUUAAGCUUUAAUUUAGGAAUAAUGUGUUUGUUAAGCAUAAGUACCAACACUAGUUGAUCCUAUUGAUGACAAAAUUGAUUUUCUCGCAAGAUUGAUUUGUGUCCAUCUAGUUUUGAUAAUAAGAUUUAAUUUAGGAAUAAUGUGUUUGUUAAGCGUAUGAACCAACACUAGUUGAUCCUAUUGAUGACAAAAUUGAUUUUCUUGCAAGAUCGAUUUGUGUCCAUCUAGUGUUGACACUUAGCUUUAAAUUUAGAAAUAAUAUAUUUGUUAAGCAUAAGUACCAACACUAGUUGAUCCUAUUGAUGACAAAAUUGAUUUUCUUGCAAGAUCGAUUUGUGUCCAUCUAGUGUUGACACUUAGCUUUAAAUUUAGAAAUAAUAUAUUUGUUAAGCAUAAGUACCAACACUAGUUGAUCCUAUUGAUGACAAAAUUGAUUUUCUUGCAAGAUCGAUUUGUGUCCAUCUAGUGUUGACACUUAGCUUUAAAUUUAGAAAUAAUAUAUUUGUUAAGCAUAAGUACCAACACUAGUUGAUCCUAUUGAUGACAAAAUUGAUUUUCUUGCAAGAUCGAUUUGUGUCCAUCUAGUGUUGACACUUAGCUUUAAAUUUAGAAAUAAUAUAUUUGUUAAGCAUGAGUACCAACACUAGUUGAUCCUAUUGAUGACAAAAUUGAUUUUCUUGCAAGAUCGAUUUGUGUCCAUCUAGUGUUGACACUUAGCUUUAAAUUUAGAAAUAAUAUAUUUGUUAAGCAUAAGUACCAACACUAGUUGAUCCUAUUGAUGACAAAAUUGAUUUUCUUGCAAGAUCGAUUUGUGUCCAUCUAGUGUUGACACUUAGCUUUAAAAAGUUGUCAAGUUGUUAAAGUUAUAAAGUUGUUAAGUUGUUUAAAUAAGUUAAAUUAAUUAAUGUGGUUUUGUUGAUGGAUUUAGUUGUUGGAAUUAAGUCAAAACUAAACUAGUUCAAGAGUUAAAGUUGUUUAAAUAGGUUAAAUUAAUUAAUGGGGUUUAGUUAGUGGAUUUAGUUGUUGGAAUUAAGUUAAAACUAGUUAGAGUUAAAGUUGUUUACUCGUUUAUAAAAGUUCAAAUAAAUAAUGUGGUUUAGUUGGUGGAUUUAGUUGUUGGAAUUAAGUCAAAACUAAUGUAGUUAAAGUUAAAAAGUUAAGUUUGUUUAAAUAAGUUAAAAUAAAUAAUGUCGGUUUAGUUAGUGAAUUUAGUUGUUGGAAUUAAGUCAAAACUAAUGUAGUUAGCUUAGUUAUUGAAAUAAGUUCAAAUAAAUAAUGUGGUUUAGUUGGUGGAUUUAGGUUUUGGAAUUAAGUCAAAUCUAGUUAGAGUUAAAGUUGUUUAAAUAAUUUGAAAUAAAUAAUGUUGUUUUGUUGGCGGAUUUAGUUGUUGGAAUUAGGUUAAAACUAGUUAGCGUUAAAGUUGUUUAGUUGUAUAAAUAAGUUCAAAUAAAUAAUGUGGUUUAGUUGGUGGAUUUAGUUAUUGGAAUUAAGUCAAAACUAAACUAGUUAAAGUUGUUAAGCUGUUUAAAUAAGUUAAAUUAAAUAAUGUGGUUUUGUUGAUGGAUUUAGUUGUUGGAAUUAAGUCAAAACUAAUGUAGUUAAAGUUAAAAAGUUAUUAGAGUUAAAGUUGUUUAAAUAAGUUCAAAUAUAUAAUGUGGUUUAGUUGGUGGAUUUAGUUUUUGGAAUGAAGUCAAAACUAGUUAGAGUUAUAGUUUUUUAGUUGUUUAAAUAAGUUCAAAUAAAUAAUGUGGUUUAGUUGGUGGAUUUAGUUGUUGUUGUUGUUGUUAUUUUUCAGUUGGUAUAGUGAAAUUAUAAAUUGUGUUAAUUUAUCAUAUUAUUUAUAGUUUUCACCAUAAAAAUGCUAAACGCCAUAUACUUAUCUCGAUUACCUCCGGAACCAAACCAAAGGUCAUUCUAGACCAAGCUUUGCUUUCUAGAGCUAACUACUUUGACAAAAUUCCAGUUCGAGCACGUUUACCAAGAAAGCUGACCAAGGUCAAACUUUGGCAAAAUAAAAAAGCUAAAAUGCCUAAUCGUACAUACUCCAAACAGAAGCCUCGAAACCCAAACCAAACAUCACACUAAACCAAAAGGACCCAUCCGUAGCUGAUGGAACUGAUAGAAUCUUGAUCCGACAUCAGAAUCUUCGGAUGUUGACAAAAGUCAACUCUUUCAUGCAUUAAACCUCCAAAAUUGAAAAACUUGCACCAACGAUUGUGUGUCCUGAUCAUACUCAUACUUAGAUUGUAUCAUUUCAUAAUUCGUAUUUUUGGUGUUGCUAUGUUCAUUUUGACCAACUUGAACCUGUACCUCUUCCCCCUUAUUCUCUUCUCUCCUUGCUGCUUGUUGUUGCCUUCUUUUGAUCGCAUCUCUCCUCUUUUUGCUUAGUUUGCCCUGAGAUUUGUUGUUGAUAGUUUGCCAUUGGUUUGUGCCCUCACUGUGUUGUAUGUUUUGUUCCUAUUCUCUUUAAUGAACAUUCUUUUUUCUGAUUCUUUUUCUGAGUGUUAUGAGAAGUAUUAAGAUUACCCUGUUGAUCAUUCUAUUUACUGUGUCCCUAACCAGAAACCUUUCCCAGAUGGAUGAGCUGAUUGUGCUGGUUCUCUUGUGUGGUCUGAUGAGAAAUGGUAGUAGAAUCUCUAGGGUCUUUCUUAAGGUCACUGUGUAAAUUCUCAUGUACAUCAUGAUGCAGAAACCCCCCUUUGGAUACCCCUUCCUACAAGCUAGUAAUGUUCUCCUUCAACCCUCCAUCCAACACUCCAACAACUUCCACAACAGUUAAACAAUUAUCUAAAGGGGUGAGGGGUAAUGGGAGCAUUGAUUCAAUACCUGUGAUCUUAGAGGCCUUGUUAUUUCCUUCUUUGUUCAUACUUGCAAGUACAUUAGGCAUAGAGGGAGGAUUUUGGGAUAUAGGGGUUGGUAACAUAUAAUCGGUUGAAAAUGUAGGCACCAGAUCAGAACCAUUUAUUAUUGUAGUAAUGAAGUGCUUUCCUGACUCUUCCAACUCCCACCUCAUACAGGCGGCUGCACAACACUAACACAGUAAGGAUAAGGGAAGGAAAAACACAUCAGGACAUUGGAAUUCAUAGGCAAAGAUGUAAGAGAUGCAAAUUUAUCAAGAAGACACUGGAAAUGUAUCUGAUAUUAAAAUUGUAGGCACGACACAAAAUGGAAAAGAAACUAUGAUAUUAUACAGCCCCAACAUAUCCAAAAUCAUUAGAGUAGCACUUCUAGAACACAAGUCAUUUCCUCAAUUUUAUAAAUACCAAAAAAUCAAAAUGACAGAAUCAAUAGAUCACCACACGAAUAAAGAUUGAAUAACUGGUGCAAAUAGUUUAGAGUACUAAACUACUAAUAGAACAUAAAAAUAAUUACAAAGCCUAAACCAGGUAGAGAAGUCCACUUCUUUCCUUAUAUAGGACCACAAUUAAGUAAAGGAGAUUGAAGAUUUCACUUUCUUCCUGGUUAAGGGAUAGAGAUGUAGACUUUUUCAAGAAUUUCACUUGUUUGCCUGUGUUUUAUCAGCCGCUGCCUCGUCUUCAUGAUGAUUUUUUGCUGUACCUGGACUGUUUGGCAGAUCUGGUUCAACAAGAUCAAUAUAAGAAUUAUGAGUAAUAAUAUUUUUACCUGUAUGACUGUGACUUUUCUGGGAAUUUCUUGUGCGGCUUCAGUUAAGUUUGUUUAAUAUUCCUGUGCUUAACUCAAGAUAGUUAAAUAUGAGUCUAAUCUAUGUUAGCAGACCUAACCAACAGUUACUGAGAAUGUGCUUACCAAAGUUGGCUUUAUUCUUAAAGAGUACCAAUUUGGUGAAGUACCUCUGGCUACUUCAAUUGUUAUAUUCAAGAAGCAAAUAUUAGUUGUUGCUAAAGCAUUUCUAAUACAAAAUACCUUGUCUGAAUUUCCAAAAAUUAUGAACCAAUUACAAAUCGAAGUUGCAGAUGUCAGAUGGCUGCCCGUGCUUUACAUAGAGCUUUACUUAGGGUCGAUUACAAUUCUUUGAUUCUAUUUUGUUGUCCUUUGCCUACUCUCUUUUUGGUUCUUUGACUUAGCUACACCAGUAUUUCUCAAAAUUAUAGAUCAUGUGUACUUCUAGUUGUCUUUUUGCUAAUCAAAACCAAUCUUUGAGACAAUUUCCAUGUUUCUUUGAGAUGUAAGAAUUGUAGAGCUAUUAUUUGUUUGAGAGCUUCUAGUCCAAAGUACAACCAUAAGAUAACAUCCACUGUUUCCCUUGAACCAAAUUGAUUAUGUUUUUCCUUGGUUUCUGAUUAGAGACCGUGUUCUGGAAGUCUUAUAUUGUUUGACCAAAUUGAUUAAUAUGCAUUCACAUUACAAUAAACAACAUACACAAUGUGAAUGCAUAUUAAUGCUAUCACACUGUUAGUUGCAUUAUAAGAUGUUUGUUUCUUUGUCCUAGAACCAUAUGUUUGUUUUGUUGAAGCAAUCACGUAUCUUCCUUUUUUUUUAUCUUCCUUCUAGAAAUCUGGCACACUUAUGUAUUCAAUGAAACGUUAAGUUUUGUAUUUCGUGAAGUAUCAAAAUAAUCAAUUUAAUGUUUUUUCUUAGGCUAACAUGAUCAAGAAGACUGGAACUACCGUAGUUGGCACAAAUAAAAAGAAGUGGGUAUGUUUGAAAAAAACUACAAGAUCUUUCUUUUCUUUCAAAAGGAGAAAAAUUUCAUGUAUAUAAUUACUGCUUUUGCAUCAAUUUUUUAAUAUUUGUGUUGAAAAAUUCAAUUAGUCCCUUUUUAUAUCCCAAAUUGUUCUAGUUAAUGGGGAUCUAAUUUCUAUUAUUAUAUAGCUAUAGAUUUUCUUAUGUGCAUUUCUUGUGCAGAUUUUUUAAGGAAAUUGAGGUCAAGUAUCGACUUCAACAUGCUCGACUUUUGGAUUGAUGAUUUCAUAAAGAUUUAUUGCAAAUUUACUGGAGAUUUUAAUUCCAUUUUAAUUAGGAGUUAAUUAGUUGGUUUUAUGUUGAGAUUAUUACAUUUAGUUAGAUCUCAAUUUUACUUGAGAUAGAAAAGAUAAUUUGUGUUGACAUUGCUUACUUCUACAGAAAACUUAUUAUAUUUCUAUUUUGUUAUUUGAUUAUAAUAUUAGAAAAUAUUUGCUUUAUAUAAUAUUUCUUGCUUAUCAUGAAGAAGAUAGUUUUGAAUGCACGGAUUGUUUGUAUGUA